RNAcentral lists this transfer RNA (38 nucleotides) under Attagenus unicolor japonicus. Its description in RNAcentral is "tRNA-Leu". Lineage: Eukaryota; Metazoa; Arthropoda; Insecta; Coleoptera; Dermestidae. The record is from RNAcentral.
UUAAGAUCCAUUCAUAAAGCAUAUGGCUUUUUUUAGAA